GACGAACGCUGGCGGCGUGCUUAACACAUGCAAGUCGAACGGUGAAGCGCCUUCCUUUUUGGUGGGUGUGGAUGAGUGGCGAACGGGUGAGUAACACGUGAGUAACCUGCCCCCUUCUUCUGGAUAACCGCAUGAAAGUGUGGCUAAUACGGGAUAUUCUGGGUCUGUCGCAUGAUGGGUCUGGGAAAGAUAUUGUUUCGGUGGGGGAUGGGCUCGCGGCCUAUCAGCUUGUUGGUGGGGUGAUGGCCUACCAAGGCGGUGACGGGUAGCCGGCCUGAGAGGGCGGACGGUCACACUGGGACUGAGACACGGCCCAGACUCCUACGGGAGGCAGCAGUGGGGAAUAUUGCACAAUGGGCGCAAGCCUGAUGCAGCGACGCCGCGUGAGGGAUGGAGGCCUUCGGGUUGUGAACCUCUUUCGCCAGUGAAGCAGGCCUGCCUAGUUUGUGGGUGGGUUGACGGUAGCUGGAGAAGAAGCGCCGGCUAACUACGUG
This 494-nucleotide ribosomal RNA is filed under the name uncultured bacterium. Its description in RNAcentral is "partial 16S ribosomal RNA". It matches the Rfam family "Bacterial small subunit ribosomal RNA", at positions 28 to 507 of the family's 1533-position model. The record is from RNAcentral.